CCUGGUGGCUCAGAUGGUAAAGCGUCUGCCUACAAUUCAGGAGACCCAGGUUCGAUCCCUGGGUCAGGA
Molecule: transfer RNA, 69 nt
Filed under: Bos taurus (domestic cattle)
Lineage: Eukaryota; Metazoa; Chordata; Mammalia; Artiodactyla; Bovidae
Also listed under: 3 other names
Rfam family: tRNA
About the family: Transfer RNA (tRNA) molecules are approximately 80 nucleotides in length. Their secondary structure includes four short double-helical elements and three loops (D, anti-codon, and T loops).
Source: Rfam by way of RNAcentral